Molecule: small nucleolar RNA, 91 nt
Filed under: Eremothecium cymbalariae DBVPG#7215
Lineage: Eukaryota; Fungi; Ascomycota; Saccharomycetes; Saccharomycetales; Saccharomycetaceae
Description: Small nucleolar RNA snR57
Rfam family: Small nucleolar RNA snR57
About the family: snR57 is a member of the C/D class of snoRNA which contain the C (UGAUGA) and D (CUGA) box motifs. Most of the members of the box C/D family function in directing site-specific 2'-O-methylation of substrate RNAs.
Source: Rfam by way of RNAcentral
CCUUACAUGAUUAGGAACACUAGUAUUAUUUUUUACUGAGGAAGUAUAUGCAGGACAAAUUGUUUUAGGAAUUCUUCGUUUAUGAUAAAGG